This 500-nucleotide ribosomal RNA is filed under the name uncultured archaeon. Its description in RNAcentral is "bacterial SSU rRNA". The stretch from base 98 to 475 matches the Rfam family "Archaeal small subunit ribosomal RNA", at positions 497 to 828 of the family's 1478-position model. The record is from RNAcentral.
AGCNAUUCCUUGAAAAGGAAAAGGGCCCGGGGCAAGACCCGGGUGGCCCNAACGCACCCAGACGGUNAUAACCGGCGGCAUCGAAGUGGUGACUCACAUNUUAAUUGGGCUUUAAAGCGUUCCGUAGCGGGACUCGUUACAGUCUCCCCGGGAAAUCCUCAGUCAGCUCAACCUGUACGUGAGGGCAUUUUUCGAGAGAUACUGGCGCAGUACUAUGGAACCGGGAGAGGUAAGAGGGUACUUACGGGGGUAGAGAGUGAAAUUCUUGUAAUCCCCCUGAGGGACCCACCCAAUUGGCGAAGGCAUNCUUACCAGAACGGGUUCGACAGUGAGGAACAGAAAGCUGGGGGNAGCGAACCGGAUUAGAUACCCCGGUAGUCCCAGCCCGUAAACGAUGCGCGUUAGGUGUAAUGCGAUGUACGCACGACGCNGAUGCUNGUGGGUGNCCGUAAGGAAACCCCGUGAAACGACCGCCUGGAAGUACGGGNUCAGGCUAACUA